GCAUGAGCUACCAUACCUGGCCUCAAUUUCACAUUUAAUAGCAAAGUCAGCUAUAAGAAAAAGUCAUAUUUGUGAUCAUGUUCAUCAAUAGAAGAUUGAUUGGAGUCUGGGCAUGGUGGCUCAGGCCUGUAAUCCCAGCACUUUGGGAAGACAAGGCGGGAGGAUCACUUGAGCCAGGGAAUUUGGGACUGCAGUGAACUAUGAUUAUGCUGCUACGCUCCAGCCUGGGUAACAGACCAAGACCCAAUCUCAAAAAAAAAGAAAAUGAUUGGAGUAAGCCAAACUUAGUGCCAUUCACACAUCGCUAAAUUUCAGAACUCCUGGGCACAGUGGCUCCCAGCACUUUGGGAGGCUUAGGUGGGAGGAUUGCUUGAAGCCAGGAGUUCAAGACCAGCCUGCAUGACAUAGCGAGACCCCAUCUCUACAAAACAUUUUUUUAAAAAAUAAAGUUUAGAACUCAUUGCAGAACAUCCCAUGCAGUAGGAUUCCAUGGAAUUUCUCCCCCAAACACACGCCUUUGUUUUUGUUUUUUGAUAGAUAGUGUCUUGCUAUGUUGCCCAGGCUGGAGUGCAGUGGCUAUUAAUACGUGUGACCAUAGCACACUACAGCCUUGACCUCCUGGGCCCAAGUGAUCCUCCUCCUGCCCCAGCCUUCUGGGUAGCUAGGACUGCAGGUAUGUGACAACAGUGCCCAGCUCCAAGGACUUUCUUUAGAGUACCCAUGACUGUGUGUGUGUCACAGGGUUCCCCUGGAGUGGGGAGUGGUGUUGGGGCUCCAGGCUCCCCUCCUUGACUUUAAACUAGAGCUCUCCACUUUUGACUUGUGCAGUGCUUCACACAUAAGCUUUCAUUGAAGAAAAUGGUUCUACUUUCAUUUGAAAACCAUGGACCUGUGGGAAGACGUCUAACCUCCCAACACAGCCUUUAUGUUCUUCCCAAAUGUAUAUUCCUCUGACCUUUCAAACUUUGUCUUCUAUUAAUAAAUUAUUGCUCUAGACCACCCCCCGGCCUUUCCCCAACACCCCAACACAUUCCUGUCUCCAAACCUCUGCUUGGCCUUUUCCUUCUGUCUAGCAGGUCUUUCUUUCCAAAUUUGCCUAAUUUCCACCCUUCCUCCAAAGCCGAAUUCAAUCCCAUCUUCAGACAUCCUUCCCGGCUCCCCUCUUGGAAUUCUCUCUUCUCCUUAUGAUGCGUGUGCAUUUAUUACAGCACCCAGGGUUGGGAUGACACUUUCUAACCAGAUGGCAAGGUCUCAGAAGCAGGCCUUCUGUGUCCCCCUCCCAAGGCCACGUGUUUUACGUAGGACAGACGUGUGCUGACCUGCUCUGAAAGCAGUUUCCCAGAGAAGGCCAGGAGCCCUUAUAACCUGAGACUUAGACAAGUGCCUCUGCAGGGACUCACUCCGUAAUCUUCUGCAUUCUGCCUUCUCCCAAUAACCUUGAUGGCCUUGAUCCUAGAUCCUAUCUUGAGUGCUCUCCCUCUAUUGGGAGCUAUUUCCAAUACCGUCACUGAGCACACCCACUUGACUAAUACUGGAAUUCAGCAGUCUUCACGCAGAGCCAAGCCGUUCAGACAGGGAGGAGAGAAGCAGGGCCUGGGGCGGUCAGCAGGGCUGGACUCCACCUACCUUGGCCGUGCCUGGGUGAGGGCUUAGGUCCAGCCAGCCUGUCUGACCCAGAAAGCCCUGGGUUUCUGGGCUUGUCCUCCACACAAGUUCUUGCCCUUCAAAGAUUCCAGACUGACUGAGUUAUUGCUCAUCUAAAGUCAAUGCAGUGGGACAUCUCCCUAGGGCUCCCAUCUCCUGAGAACCAGAUUUAGAGGGGGCUUGGGAGGGGCCUGUGUCUUCCUCCUUGCCAAGAGGUAUUUGUCUGGCAGCGUUCAGAGAGGGUAAGAUGGGAGGAAGCUGGUUUGAGGGGUGCUGGGAAUUGACAGCACAUCUCAGCAGGAGGUGUCAAACAGACGUUUUGGGGGUUCGGGAGUGGCACAUGUUAAAGCCACUUCCCACACAUAGGAGUUCUAGCUCCCCCAAUCUCCCCCAAACUAUGGAGAGAGGCAAUAAAGCAAGGUUGGCUCCGGCCUCAUGGGAAAUUGAGGAAUCAGGAAUCCUGAAUACCAUGGGGCAUGUGCUGCUGAAGGAAGCCCUCCAAUCCCAUGCCCAGAGGGAGCACAGGGCAGACCAUUUGCGUGAGCGGUGUGCCCAUUCUUUGACAUGAAAAGCUUCUGAAACCUGAGGCCCUCGUGCACACACACACUCUUGACAGCAACAUGCACCUUGCAUAGACACAGGUGCCAAGAUGGGCCACACCAGCAUGUGGCCUAGACAGGCACCCAGCAGACAACAGCCUGGUCAUGGGCCAGGGUCACAUGCCCCAAAGAAGGCAAGAAACACAAUGACCAGAAUGAGGCUGAGAGUGGAGCUAGAAUCUAGUUAGAAAAUUGCUGUGAGCACUGGGGAGGAGCAGGGGCUGUAACAGUGUCCAGUAUUGAGGGGCUUAGCGGGAGGUGGGGGGUGUAAGGAGAUGCAAAGUGCUUGGCCUGUGGUAGGGCCCAAAAUGUUACUCUUCUCCUUCCCUCCACUGUAGGAUGCAGGCUCCUCCCUGGAUAAUUAAGUCUCCAAGCCCCACCUGACUUCUCCAAAUAAUGAGGCUGCCCCACUGCCCAGCACUGGCCAGCAUGGAGCUCAGCUCACAUUUGCUAAUGGGGAUUCUAUGUCAGCAGGUGCAUUGGGCAGGGGUGCCUAGCAUGCCUCAGGGAUCUAUCCUGGGUCCCCUCCUCUUCAGCACUCUCAGCCCAGCUUUGGGGGCACUCUCAGGCAACACAGAGUUCUUUACAAGCUGGAACCAUGGGUCCAACCUAACCAGAUGAAAUUGCAUGGGGAAAAAUAUACAAGCCAGGACUCAGGUUUAAAACAUUACCCGUCCAGGGAUAAGUUAGGGAGGACCAGGUAACAACAGUUCGUCAGAAAGACUUGGGAGUUUGUCACCUACAAGCUUAAGAUGAGUCACGGGAGUGACGUGGCCAGCCGAAGGGCCACUGUUACCUUCAUCUAGGUGAACAGAGGCUUGUAAGUGGGCAGCUGACACCAGCCCAGUUUGGUUGGUCUGGACAAGGAUGACCACUUUGUUGAGGGGCUUGGAAAACCCUGCCCAUAGAGGAAAUUUUCAGGUACUAGGGGUGUAGUGUCUGGGACAGAGAAGACUUGAGUCCCUGAGGGCUGAUGUCAAGGCUUGGAAAGAAGCUCCAUGGGCAAGAGGGCAGCAAUGGACUCUUGCUAUGAGCUUCCAGGGGGCAGUCUAGAAGGACUGGGCAGAAGCUGAGGGGGUAGCGUUUCAGUCAAAGGAGGGAGAACUUUCUAACAGACAGAACUGUCCAGCAAUGAGAUGGUACCUUUAGGAAGGAGAGGAACGUUUGAGCCCAAGUGUGUGGGAAGAGAUUCCUGCCCUGGGAAGAAGGAGGCUGGACUCUGCCUUCAAAUGCCCCUCGCUCCCACUCCCAGAUUCUCUGUCUGUCCUGCCCUGCCUGGGGCUGAGCUGGUUCUCAGCAUGAUCUCCGUCUAGCUCAGUAGCCGGAGACUUGGUAUUUCUAGUCCAUUCUGCCGCCAGUGAAUGCCCCAGCCUGACCUUGCUUCUCAGCCCCAAGGAGGGGGCAGGGCUGCCUGCAUGCGUGGCUUACUCAGGCCGAACCCCAGGACUCCAAGGCCUGAGUCAUGCUGGCCGCGGGAGGUGUCUGCACACAGACGCCAGUCAUUGCUCUGGCCAGGGGGGAGCACACAAGCUCCAUAUCCUUUUAUGUCCCUGUGUGGAUAUUCCCAGCCGAGAGUCAGGAGCUGUGAGUGGGGCUGGCCAGGGUAUCUGUCAUUCCAGCCUUCAGUGGCUUAAGGGGUGCAGGGGUCUGGAGAAAUGAGACUGGGCUGUGGGUGAGGGUGUAGGUCUGUACCCCUUACCCCGUCUUUCUUCAGGAGGCCCACAGCCCCUAAAGACCAUCUGAGACUCUGGCUUGCCAUUUGUCACAUCUCCCUUGCCGCACCCACAGCCUUCAGGGACAAGUCUGUGAGACUCCUCUUUCAUCUCUACCCACGGGUUUUGGCCAUCAGAAGCAGGUCCACAUAUGCGGCCACUGUUUCUGCCGUUCUGCUAGAGGAGUGGGAUCAGCUGCAGCCUGCGUCCCUGGGGAAAGCAAGAGUUCCUGACGGAGACUCUGCAGUUUGUAUGCCCGAACCCAUAUUCACUUUGACCCUGACCCAUCCUCAGCUUGGCCUUGGGGCUCUCCCUCAUCUCUGACCCUUCCAACUACACCCCAGUUGGGCCUCCUCUGCUGGGGUUCCUCUGGGACUUUUGACCUGGUUGCGGGGGGCGGGUGGAGAACCUCCCUUUCCCCUAGAUGAAGCCCAGAAACAGCCUGAGCUGGUUUUGGUUCCUCUUCUUCACACCUACAUGAUGAAAUGAGAUGGUCCACGUGGACGGGCUGUGUCGCCUGUGAUGCUCUGGUCACACUGAAGUCAUGAUGUGUGGUAAUUGUCUAUGGAGAGGGGUCAUAGAAAGCCAGGCUCUGGGGCUUGGACCAGCUUCACCGUGCGCUAUAGCAGCUUCCCCUCCCGGCUGGUGUGCAGGGUGGGGCUGGAGGUAUAGUUUAUGACCAGCCUCUGUGGAUGCCCCAGCCCAGGCCCUGGUUCUGUUGGAAGGAGGCUCUCAGAUCGAGGGUCGCAUAGACAGGGUCUGCUCUAGGUCUGCCAGGAUCGGCCUUUCCAGCAGGAUGGGUCCCUGGCAUACCCACCCCAGGACCUGGAAUCUUCUUGUUCCUGGUUCUUAGCCAUCUAAUUUUUGUUCUAUUUGGACCUUUCAUUGAUGAGAAUUAGCAGCCCGUCCCCACCCCCCAGCCCCUGCCUUAAAGAAGUGGACAUUUUAAGCGGCUCGAGUUGGUCUUCGAGUUCAAGAGGACAAAUGGAAUACAGAAUGACGAACCUGGCUUAUGGCCAGGAGCCCCCAGUUCCUUUUUUUUUUUUUUUUCUGGCAAGUUUGUGUAACCAAAAGGCCCCAGUUCUUAGCUCAACAUGAGAGUGUAAAACCCAGCGUUCAAGGAAUGUGAACCAAUACCUGGUAUGGGCAAGGACAAGGAGGAGAAUAGGAAGCAGAAGGAAUAGAAGGACCCAGACUAACUCCAGAGGAAAAUGGUGAGCUAAGACCUUUACUGCAUCACAAAUCAAUAAAUACUUAUUGAGAAGCUGCUACAUGCAAGAUUCUCCUGCCUGUACCACUACGCCCGAGGUUUUUGUACUGUGACACUGAGGGACAGUCUGCCAAGCUGCUCACGGCCCUUCAGUGAGUGGGUGGGGGCGGAGGAGAGGGUCUGUGUUCUGAGGGGACAUUGGCCCUGGAGACAGGGUGUGUAGGAGAUUCGUGAAGGGGGAACGAGGCACUGGUGGCUGGCUGAAGAGCUCCAGAGCCCAGAUGGUCCUAGGACUCCUGGGCUCCUGGCUAGACCCUGAGUGAGGGAUCCAGAUAUUGGAAUGCCUGGCUGAGGAUCACUCAUUUGAGGUGUGACAUGAAGAAAGUCACUGGGUCCCUUUCCCCCAGAUGUAGGUUUUCUUGGGACAUGCCCUGCUGCCCCUGCCCCCUGCCCCCACCUGUCCCUAGUAGGUCACUCAGUGAGGUGAGGCGUGCAGUUAGGGGAAACUCUUAAGGUUUCUCAGAAGCUGGGACCCGCCGGGUCUCCAGUUGGUUACUAAGAUGUCCAACUGGGUCAGGGCUCGUGGUCAGUUUGAAGCUGCAGGCAGAGGAAGACGCCCAGUAACCUAAUCAGGCGAGGCCAGCGGCUGUGACCGGGGGCCAGGGUGGGAGCACAUUGCCCCUUUGGGGCCGCGGGUUUUUAGUCUGAUUUGGGGUAUUGCCCAGACUCUGUGAUUAGACUCAGGGCAGCUUCAUGGGCUUGCAACUGGGGCAGUCACACGGGGGCCUGCACCCAGCAGGACCCCCCACGAGGUUUAGUGCUCUGCUGUUGCCUUCUUAUUUAUAAUAAUUUUUCAACAAGGGGCCCCAUGUUUUCAUUUUGCAUUGGGUCCCACAAAUUAUGUAGCAGGUCCUGGUUAGAUGAAUGGUCCGGCUCUGAUUCCACCUACGGUUUGGAUCCGAGGGGCCAGGCUUUGGGUAGUCAGCCCUUCUGCCCACUUUCUCCCCGUGUCCUACUUACACUUCCCAGCCUUGGGAUCUGGGCAAGCGAGAGGCGGGCUUCUCUGAGCAAGUCUGGGAACAUGGUUGGUGGAACUACAAAGUCCACUCCACAAAGUCCACUCCAGCCGGGGGAGCAGGAGGGAGUCAGACAAUAUCUUAGGGUAAGUUUGGGACAGGAGAGUUGGUAGGAGCCAGGGUUUGGCUCCUUCAUGAUCUAACCCAGAGUGCAGCCCCGAAACAAGUCCUCUCUCCAGGGGGAGAAAAGACAGUGAAGAAGUUUCCAAGAAACCCUUACAACCAGCCUCUGCCGUCGGCUCACAAGGAACCCUGUGUUUCUCUGGUUGAGCUGCUCCACACACACACACAUCUUCUGGGAGCCCAGUGACAACCAAGUCAACUGCACCACUACGCUUCACUGGAGAGACUUGAGUGGUGGCAGCGUAGUGCUGGAGACCAUUUUCUUAGCCCACCCAAGAAACCUUUCCAAGAAUACCUUAUCUCUAGAGAUUCUACAACAGGUUCCAAGACAUUUGUCAGAUUAACAGUUUUCUCACCCUGCUCCCUGACUCCAGCCUGCUGGGAUCCUCUUCCUUGCUACCAUCUGGUCUCACAUUCCCUCAGUUUAGCACAUAAUUGUUGCCUAAUAGCUUCCAGUGAGUGAUUUUUUUCUCUGGCCAGAGCAGAAGCUAUUUGAGGGCAAAGACCAGGUCCUCAACUUCUCCACCCAACACAGAAUGUAGUGCCCUGAUGACAUAAUCAUAUGGCCAGAGACGAACAGCUAUGCAUUCAUUGACUGAUUAGCAAUGCCAGCCUCCUUACGGUAAGAAAACCUCCAAAGUACUUUCCUGUCUAGUUCCAUAUUCCGACCCUAAGAGAAAAGGAGAGAAAGAAUGGAGAGGUGAAGUAUCCUGUUCCCAGUCACAUAGCAACUCAGAGGAGGAUG
RNAcentral lists this long non-coding RNA (7109 nucleotides) under Homo sapiens (human). Its description in RNAcentral is "HSALNT0181963". Lineage: Eukaryota; Metazoa; Chordata; Mammalia; Primates; Hominidae. The record is from RNAcentral.